Long non-coding RNA from Empidonax traillii (willow flycatcher), 159 nucleotides. RefSeq lists it as uncharacterized. The record is from RefSeq and is a predicted model, not a curated record. The transcript is spliced from 3 exons. NCBI's taxonomy places the organism in Eukaryota, Metazoa, Chordata, Aves, Passeriformes, Tyrannidae.
UCUGCCCUGCUCAGAUGCCCAGCACAGCAAGGACAUGGAGAUGCUGGAGUGAGUCCAGAGGAGGCAACAAGAUGAUUAGAGGAAUGGAGCAGCUCUACUGUGAGAAAAGGUUGGGAGAUUUGAUUCUUCAGCCUGGAGAAGGGAAGCUUUGGAUGACCU